GACCUGCGAAUGCAUUUACUUUGGGUAUGUUAAUACUGAAUUUCACAUUGGAUUUGUUGAUAUAUGCAAAUUUUUAUCAUUGUUGGGAGUUUGCAGCUAGUCAAUUUUGUAAUUUAUAGUUGUCCAUAUUAUUAGCUGCAACAGCUUUAUUCAUCUAAAGUAUAUACAGCUUCCCAACGCAGCUAACACUAUGUUUAAAUGAGAGGAAAGAAAAUAAUCGGAGGAAAAUAAAAGAAUACAAUAAUUAGAAAAGAAAAUAACUUUUUCAUUUUAUUUGGAUAUAACUAUAUAAGAGAGAAAAUAUUAAAAGGAAAGUUACUUUUGAACUAUAAAAUUACAAUUUUACCCCCUAAAUAUUCAAAAAGAAGCUAAAAUAUAGAGAUACUUUUGUAAUUUUAAAUAUUUUUCUCCCUCUUUUCCCCCAAUUUGGAUAGAAAAUGGGAGUGGAAUCCAACAUUUAUUUUCCCUUCAAUAUUUUCUUUCCUCCCUACUUUCUUCUUAACCAAACAUAAAUUGAAUAAAAAAUAAGGUUAUUUUCCUCUCAUAUUUUCCUUCCUCCUUUGUUUUCCUUCAAUCCAAACACAGUGUAAAAGACAGUUGGAAGUAAUAUGGACCUCCUGGCUGGUUGCUGCUUCUCUAGCCAUAAAUCAUGAAUGUGCAUCACAACUCAAUUUGCUGGGGAUUACUUUACCUUUUAUAGUAUGUGUGAAUAUUUAACAUUUGAAUCAUUGAGCUUGAAAUAGUUUGCCGUGUGCAUGUUAAGAACAUCUUACCUUCUGGGUAUAUCUUUCCCCUUGCCAUUAUUCAUUCAUAAUAUUUUUUUAUUAAAUGGCAAUAGAAACCAGAUUCUGUCUGAUUUCUCUUCAUUGAAGCAUCAUCUCUUGUGAGAAUCACUUAUUUCUUUCUUGGAUAACUGUUUAACGGUAUCUAAAUCAGUCUAUUUAAUCUCACA
This 952-nucleotide unclassified non-coding RNA is filed under the name Hevea brasiliensis (rubber tree). The record is from RNAcentral. Lineage: Eukaryota; Viridiplantae; Streptophyta; Magnoliopsida; Malpighiales; Euphorbiaceae.